CCCACUCUUGCGUAGUUGGUCUGCGCGCCUGGCUGAAGCCCGGGAGGUUCUGGUUCGAUUCCAGAGGGUGGGA
This 73-nucleotide transfer RNA is filed under the name Kofleriaceae bacterium. It matches the Rfam family "tRNA". From Rfam's summary of the family: Transfer RNA (tRNA) molecules are approximately 80 nucleotides in length. Their secondary structure includes four short double-helical elements and three loops (D, anti-codon, and T loops). Further hydrogen bonds mediate the characteristic L-shaped molecular structure. tRNAs have two regions of fundamental functional importance: the anti-codon, which is responsible for specific mRNA codon recognition, and the 3' end, to which the tRNAs corresponding amino acid is attached (by aminoacyl-tRNA synthetases). tRNAs cope with the degeneracy of the genetic code in two manners: having more than one tRNA (with a specific anti-codon) for a particular amino acid; and 'wobble' base-pairing, i.e. permitting non-standard base-pairing at the 3rd anti-codon position. The record is from Rfam by way of RNAcentral. RNAcentral also lists the same sequence under 1 other name. Lineage: Bacteria; Pseudomonadati; Myxococcota; Haliangiales; Kofleriaceae.